AUUCCCAACAGAAUUUAGAGUGGUCAUACAGAAUGUGACAGAAGAUGAUUGUGGAGAGUACUACUGUGCAAUGAAAGAAAAACAACAGUUCCUGUUCAACAAUGGCAACAGACUCAUCACCAUUAAUGCUGGUUGCCGGUUUGUGUGAUCUUGUUGAUGGAACUCCAAGUCUCUUCACAGGAGAGAGUUGAAGGUUUUACAAGAGGGGAGGUUAUUUUACCAUGUAGGUACAAUGCAAUGCCUGCUGAAGAGGUCACCAUAUUUUGGCGAUAUAAGGAUGACCUUAAUGUCUACAAUAUUGUCAGUGGAAAAGCAGACAUGACAGACCAAGACCGUCAGUUCAGAAACAGAAUCAGGAUUUUCCCUGAGGAAUGGGCAAACGGCGACUUCUCUCUCCUACUGACUGAUCUCAAGGACUCUGAUAGUGGGAGUUAUUCAUGUUUCAUACCAACAAAGGACAUUCAUCAUCAAGUGGAACUUUCUGUUCAAGGCUUCCAUUACAACGAAGUGUAACAGACAAUUCAAAGAGAAUGGUCAUGAUUCAGCCUUUGCUUGUCUAAACAGUAUUGGACUUUCCAUUAACAGUUUUAAGAAGUUGUAUUCUUAAAAUAUUUGUAAGAAGUUGUAUUCUUAAAAAAUACAUAUUUGUAUUUUUUAGGGAUCUCCAUUAGCUACUGCAAAGGCAGCAGCUACGCUUUGUUAGAGGUUCACCUAGGGGUCAUGAUUGGGGCUGUACCAAAUGAUUGAUGUAUUAGAAUAAUUGAUUAUGCUUAUGUUGUAUUAAUAGAAGGGGAGGGGUUAUGGGACCUUUUCUUUGAUGCAGAACUUACUCGGAAACAUGCGUGCUAUGUUCCUGAUUGUCAACUUCUGUCUGCAAUUGCAUUAAUAAAGGUUUUUGAAUGAUU
Non-coding RNA from Salmo salar (Atlantic salmon), 905 nucleotides. NCBI's taxonomy places the organism in Eukaryota, Metazoa, Chordata, Actinopteri, Salmoniformes, Salmonidae. The record is from RefSeq and is a predicted model, not a curated record.